CCUACGGGCGGCAGCAGUGGGGAAUAUUGGACAAUGGGCGAAAGCCUGAUCCAGCCAUGCCGCGUGUGUGAAGAAGUCCUUCGGGUUGUAAAGCACUUUCAGUGGGGAAGAAAGCCUUGGGGCUAAUACCCUCGAGGAAGGACAUCACCCACAGAAGAAGCACCGGCUAACUCCGUGCCAGCAGCCGCGGUAAUACGGAGGGUGCGAGCGUUAAUCGGAAUUACUGGGCGUAAAGCGCGCGUAGGCGGUCUGAUAAGCCGGUUGUGAAAGCCCCGGGCUCAACCUGGGAACGGCAUCCGGAACUGUCAGGCUAGAGUGCAGGAGAGGCAGGUAGAAUUCCCGGUGUAGCGGUGAAAUGCGUAGAGAUCGGGACGAAUACCAGUGGCGAAGGCGGCCUUCUGGACUGACACUGGCGCUGAGGUGCGACAGCGUGAGUAGCAAACAGGAUUAGAUACCCCGGUAGUC
This 465-nucleotide ribosomal RNA is filed under the name Vreelandella stevensii. RNAcentral describes it as "partial 16S ribosomal RNA". It matches the Rfam family "Bacterial small subunit ribosomal RNA", at positions 338 to 795 of the family's 1533-position model. The record is from RNAcentral. Lineage: Bacteria; Pseudomonadati; Pseudomonadota; Gammaproteobacteria; Oceanospirillales; Halomonadaceae.